RNAcentral lists this ribosomal RNA (490 nucleotides) under uncultured bacterium. RNAcentral describes it as "partial 16S ribosomal RNA". It matches the Rfam family "Bacterial small subunit ribosomal RNA", at positions 30 to 507 of the family's 1533-position model. The record is from RNAcentral.
AUUGAACGCUGGCGGCAGGCCUAACACAUGCAAGUCGAACGGUAACAGGAAGAAGCUUGCUUCUUUGCUGACGAGUGGCGGACGGGUGAGUAAUGUCUGGGAAACUGCCUGAUGGAGGGGGAUAACUACUGGAAACGGUAGCUAAUACCGCAUAACGUCGCAAGACCAAAGAGGGGGACCUUCGGGCCUCUUGCCAUCGGAUGUGCCCAGAUGGGAUUAGCUAGUAGGUGGGGUAACGGCUCACCUAGGCGACGAUCCCUAGCUGGUCUGAGAGGAUGACCCGCCACACUGGAACUGAGACACGGUCCAGACUCCUACGGGAGGCAGCAGUGGGGAAUAUUGCACAGUGGGCGCAAGCCUGAUGCAGCCAUGCCGCGUGUAUGAAGAAGGCCUUCGGGUUGUAAAGUACUUUCAGCGGGGAGGAAGGGAGUAAAGUUAAUACCUUUGCUCAUUGACGUUACCCGCAGAAGAAGCACCGGCUAACUCCGUG